Molecule: unclassified non-coding RNA, 271 nt
Filed under: Hevea brasiliensis (rubber tree)
Lineage: Eukaryota; Viridiplantae; Streptophyta; Magnoliopsida; Malpighiales; Euphorbiaceae
Source: RNAcentral
AAGUUUGAGAAAUGAUUCAGCUGAGAGAAUUGACGGAAUUAGAUCGGAAGUGAUUCUGAAUAGAUCGAGGAGAAAUUGAGAGUAAAGGGUUUAAGCGGAUUUAGCGAUUGGGACGACGAGGUGAAUACAGCUUUCAUCUUCUCCCAUGAAUGAAUGUAUAGCAACAUAGUAGACCUCUCAUCUUCUCUCCAAAACAUACCAAAUUCAGUUCGAUCAAACACGAAAUCAAAUCGAUUUUUCAAAAUUGAACGAACAGACAAAACCAGAUGAA